GAUGAAGAACGCAGCGAAAUGCGAUACGUAAUGUGAAUUGCAGAAUUCAGUGAAUCAUCGAGUCUUUGAACGCACAUCGCGCCCCCUGGUAUUCCGGGGGGCAUGCCUGUCCGAGCGUCAUUGCUGCCCUCAAGCACGGCUUGUGUGUUGGGCCUCCGUCCUCCUCCCGGGGGACGGGCCCGAAAGGCAGCGGCGGCACCGCGUCCGGUCCUCGAGCGUAUGGGGCUUCGUCACCCGCUCUUGUAGGCCCGGCCUGCGCUUGCCGACACAUCAAUCUUUUUUCCAGGUUGACCUCGGAUCAGGUAGGGAUACCCGCUGAACUUAAGCAUAUCAAUAAGCGGAGGA
Molecule: unclassified non-coding RNA, 345 nt
Filed under: soil metagenome
Description: partial contains 5.8S ribosomal RNA, internal transcribed spacer 2, and large subunit ribosomal RNA
Rfam family: 5.8S ribosomal RNA (bases 1-120)
Source: RNAcentral